GAUGAACGCUAGCGGCAGGCUUAAUACAUGCAAGUCGAGGGGCAGCACGGUUAGCAAUAACUGGUGGCGACCGGCGCACGGGUGCGUAACACGUAUACAAUCUACCUUAAACAGGGGGAUAGCCUUUCGAAAAGAGAGAUUAAUACCCCGUAAUAAAUUGAACGGCAUCGUUUGAUUUUGAAAGCUCCGGCGGUUUGAGAUGAGUAUGCGUCUGAUUAGCUAGUUGGUGAGGUAACGGCUCACCAAGGCGACGAUCAGUAGGGGAUCUGAGAGGACUAACCCCCA
Molecule: ribosomal RNA, 285 nt
Filed under: uncultured bacterium
Lineage: Bacteria
Description: partial 16S ribosomal RNA
Rfam family: Bacterial small subunit ribosomal RNA
Source: RNAcentral